Molecule: small nucleolar RNA, 128 nt
Organism: Manihot esculenta (cassava)
Lineage: Eukaryota; Viridiplantae; Streptophyta; Magnoliopsida; Malpighiales; Euphorbiaceae
Product: small nucleolar RNA snoR74
Exons: 1
Source: RefSeq, a predicted model, not a curated record
GAAGGAGAAGGGUCCCUGUUCCCUCCGUGAACAGGGUUCUCAUAAGCUCCAGGGAAAUUACUCGCAUCUCUCUGGAGCCUUUCUAGGUGUUUUUACUGGCAGAUGGUUCAGUAAAUGAUGGUACAUUU